GCACCUACCGAUUGAAUGGUCCGGUGAAGCCUCGGGAUUGUGGCGAGUUCCCUUUAUUGGGAGUUUGUCGCGAGUACUUGUCUAAACCUUAUCAUUUAGAGGAAGGUGAAGUCGUAACAAGGUUUCCGUAGGUGAACCUGCAGAAGGAUCAAGAUCGAAAGAGCGUCGGGUAGGGAAAGGAGGGUAGAUGUCGUUGGUCGCCGUAGCAUUAAAAAAAAAAACAGAUAAUCUAUCGGAAUACCAUACAGGCGUAUCACAACAAUGCGUAAUUAUCAC
Molecule: unclassified non-coding RNA, 276 nt
Filed under: sea anemone metagenome
Description: partial contains small subunit ribosomal RNA and internal transcribed spacer 1
Rfam family: Eukaryotic small subunit ribosomal RNA (bases 1-154)
Source: RNAcentral